GACGAACGCUGGCGGCGUGCUUAAAACAUGCAAGUCGAACGGUGAAGCUCCAGCUUGCUGGAGUGGAUCAGUGGCGAACGGGUGAGUAACACGUGAGCAACCUGCCCCAGACUCUGGAAUAAGCGCUGGAAACGGCGUCUAAUACUGGAUACGAGAUCAAGCCGCAUGGUUAUGGUCUGGAAAGUUUUUCGGUUUGGGAUGGGCUCGCGGCCUAUCAGCUUGUUGGUGAGGUAAUGGCUCACCAAGGCGACGACGGGUAGCCGGCCUGAGAGGGCGACCGGCCACACUGGGACUGAGACACGGCCCAGACUCCUACGGGAGGCAGCAGUGGGGAAUAUUGCACAAUGGGCGAAAGCCUGAUGCAGCGACGCCGCGUGAGGGAUGACGGCCUUCGGGUUGUAAACCUCUUUCAGCAGGGAAGAAGCGAAAGUGACGGUACCUGCAGAAGAAGCACCGGCUAACUACGUG
RNAcentral lists this ribosomal RNA (468 nucleotides) under uncultured bacterium. RNAcentral describes it as "partial 16S ribosomal RNA". It matches the Rfam family "Bacterial small subunit ribosomal RNA", at positions 28 to 507 of the family's 1533-position model. The record is from RNAcentral.